AUGAUAACCACAAAAGCUUAAACAUUUAUAUUAACAAAGUUCCCAAAAAGGAAUUACAUCAUGAAUGCAAACAUCCAACAAACCCAGCAUUCCAAAACAAUUGUACUUUUCAGCAAGUAACCGAGAGGUAACCGACAAACUAUAAAACUUAAAACCCUAUACCUAAUUUUCGAUAUUAAUAUCUUCAGCAUCAUUAUCCGGAAUCUCAUUAGCAGGAACUAGCUCACCAUUAUAAAAGUCCUUCUUAACAUCAAAAUUACCUUCAUCAAUAGGAAUCUUAUAAAAGUAUUUUGCUUGUUGAAGAGCCUUCUCAAAGCCAAGUUUGUG
This 327-nucleotide long non-coding RNA is filed under the name Phaseolus vulgaris (common bean). Its description in RNAcentral is "long non-coding RNA (PVUL_LNC000252)". The record is from RNAcentral. Lineage: Eukaryota; Viridiplantae; Streptophyta; Magnoliopsida; Fabales; Fabaceae.